UCAUAAUCUCUGCUCACCGACUUUGUAUCCUAUUAAUUCUAGAAUAUAAAAAUAUAUACAUGUUCAUCAUGUUUGCUUUAUUCAUCUUUCUAGGGCCUGGAUUACUUACAAGAACUGAAUGUGAUACAUCAUGAUCUCAAGGGCGCCAAUAUAAUGUUAACUUCUACGGCCCGUGUGAAGAUAAUUGAUUUUGGCCUUGCCACAAUAGGGCCCAUCAGUACAAGUAAUGCAGGAACCCGCUGUUGGAUGGCACCUGAAGUCCAUGCAUGUUUUACAGGAAGUGUACAUUAUAACUACAAGGUGGAUGUGUGGUCUUUAGGAAUCACAGCCAUAGAAAUGGCAGAAUACAAUCCUCGUAAGUAAUCUUAAAUAACAUUUUUUGUGCGUUUAUGUUCAUUUAUGGAGGAGUGUUUUAAGG
Xenopus laevis (African clawed frog) is the source of this 418-nucleotide long non-coding RNA. RefSeq lists it as uncharacterized. NCBI's taxonomy places the organism in Eukaryota, Metazoa, Chordata, Amphibia, Anura, Pipidae. The transcript is spliced from 3 exons. The record is from RefSeq and is a predicted model, not a curated record.